GAUGAACGCUGGCGGCGUGCCUAAUACAUGCAAGUCGAGCGAACGGACGAGAAGCUUGCUUCUCUGAUGUUAGCGGCGGACGGGUGAGUAACACGUGGAUAACCUACCUAUAAGACUGGGAUAACUUCGGGAAACCGGAGCUAAUACCGGAUAAUAUUUUGAACCGCAUGAUUCAAAAGUGAAAGACGGUCUUGCUGUCACUUAUAGAUGGAUCCGCGCUGCAUUAGCUAGUUGGUAAGGUAACGGCUUACCAAGGCAACGAUGCAUAGCCGACCUGAGAGGAUGAUCGGCCACACUGGAACUGAGACACGGUCCAGACUCCUACGGGAGGCAGCAGUAGGGAAUCUUCCGCAAUGGGCGAAAGCCUGACGGAGCAACGCCGCGUGAGUGAUGAAGGUCUUCGGAUCGUAAAACUCUGUUAUUAGGGAAGAACAUAUGUGUAAGUAACUGUGCACAUCUUGACGGUACCUAAUCAGAAAGCCACGGCUAACUACGUG
Molecule: ribosomal RNA, 497 nt
Filed under: uncultured bacterium
Lineage: Bacteria
Description: partial 16S ribosomal RNA
Rfam family: Bacterial small subunit ribosomal RNA
Source: RNAcentral